GCCUAAUCCCUCGAGAAGGUUUGAAGUAAUGGAGAGGUUCUCCAUUAAACUUAACGCUGAAUGAAACUGUUGUGACACAUUUCAUGAUCCAUCCCACCCAUUUCUCAUCAAAGCCAAUCUUCAUUAGGCAUGCCUCCAAGAAAUCCCAUUCCACUCGAUCGUAGGCUUUCUUCAUGUCUAACUUGAGAACCGCUUGAAAUUUCUUUCUUCUCUUUUGAAUUCUAAUUUGAUGCAACACCUCCUGGACAAUAAAGAUGUUAUCUUGAAUUUGCCUCCCGCCGACGAAAGCACUUUGUUCCAUUGCAACAAGUUCUGGUAGAAGUGGUUUGAGUCUAUUGGCCAGCACUUUUGAGAUAAUCUUGUAGCCAAAAUUACAUAAACUAAUUGGGCGGUAUUGAUCUAGUCUCUCUGGGUUCGGGACUUUCGGGAUAAGGGAGAUGUGUGUUUUAUUUAAAUCUGGUGGCAGGGAUCCAGUGUUGAAGAAAUUCCUCACCUCCUUUAGAAUAUCCCAUUUAAUCUCUUCCCAAUUCUACUAAUAAAACAAACCACUAAGGCCAUCAGGCCCCGGUGCUUUUGCUGCGCCGAGCUGGAAAGUUGCAUUUGUUACUUCUUCCAAGGUUGCCUCAGCCAACAAGAGGUGAUUCAUCUCUUCUGUUACCACCCGAGAUACCUGAUCCAGAACUUGGCAGAAAUGUCGAGGGCCGAUAGAUUGAUAUAGAUCUCGAAAAAAAAGUAUAGUAUGUUCUUUCAACUGGCACUGCUCAAAUAGCCAUGUAUUCUCUAAAUUCUGAAGCAUAGAGAUCCUAUUCCUCUGUCGCCUCUGAAUGGUAGUUGCAUGAAAAAACUUUGUGUUUCUAUCUCCCCAUUUCAACCAAUUAAUUCUCGAUCGCAGCCCCCAAUACAUCUCUUCCUGCCUCCAUAAAUAAUCAAUAUCUUCUUGCGGGUUUUUGAUUCUCACUUUGUCAAAGGACCCCAUGGUAUUGUUUGUCAGCCACUACAAUUCCUGUUUCAGCAAGUUGAUUUCCCUAUGUCCAUUCGCGAAUUUCUUCUUACUCCAUUUGGAAAGAGCAAAAGUUACGGCCUGCAACUUCCCGACUAAAUCCUUUUCAAAGGUUAGCCCAAAGAGAUAGAAGUAUAGGACUGUGAUCUGAUCCUAUUGCUGGGAGAGCAUAAGCUUCCGCUUCAGGGAACAUCAACCUCCAUUCAAUCGUACAUACCACCCUGUCAAGUCGUUCUUUAAUGUACUCGUCCCCUUCUCUAUUAUUGGCCCAAGUGAACGCACACCCUUUACUGUCAAUGUCGAUCAAUGAACAGGCAUCUAGACAAUCCCAAAAA
Long non-coding RNA from Syzygium oleosum, 1335 nucleotides. RefSeq lists it as uncharacterized. The transcript has 2 exons. Lineage: Eukaryota; Viridiplantae; Streptophyta; Magnoliopsida; Myrtales; Myrtaceae. The record is from RefSeq and is a predicted model, not a curated record.